Oryzias melastigma (Indian medaka) is the source of this 1678-nucleotide long non-coding RNA. RefSeq lists it as uncharacterized. The record is from RefSeq and is a predicted model, not a curated record. The transcript is spliced from 4 exons. NCBI's taxonomy places the organism in Eukaryota, Metazoa, Chordata, Actinopteri, Beloniformes, Adrianichthyidae.
GAUUUGUAACAUUUAUGCUAAAGUCCUUAAACAGAUUAAAGUUAAAAAUGUGAUCGUCUGACUGUGACGUCUCCUCAGAGUAACGUUUUUAAUGCAUUCGAUGCCAUCAGUCACUUUGCUUUAUUUUUGUCACUUUAGUUUAUACUCAAUUCAAGUCACUUUAAAAUGCGUUUGCAAUUUCUCUAACAUAAAUCAUAUCCACAGUGCAAUUGCUUCUUUUUUCAUCUUUUCUUUUUUUGUAUUUUUUAUCUCCACACAUUUACUUUGCUCUCUGUGUAAAUAAGUAUAUUGUCUAAUUUUUCUACCUGUAAUGCUGCCGUAACCCUAAAAUUUCCCCACAGUGGGACGAAUAAAGGACUAUCUUAUCUUUUCUGCUUGUCUGAGUUUUUCCAUAAAUGUGGAAACAAAACUUUAAACUGAUUUUCUUCAGCUUCAGUUAUGAUCCGUCUUUGUUUAAAUCUGUAAAAACAGUCGAUCAAAUGAAUCAGAAUCAGUCUGGAAAUGCAGGCGGUCAGAAGUUCCCAUGACGAUGGAAACAAAGAGAAACUCUUCAGUCGUUUUGGUGGAUUACUCCUCAGAUCUGGCAACGCUCUGAUCUGAGCAAACAUGGCCGUCCUAAUGAGGAUCAGCUGUGAUCCUAAUCCUCUCCAGUCAACAGGGUCUGUUUAUACAGUCAAAGUCUCCAUCACUCAGGAAGUACUGAAGCGACGAUGCAUUAAGUCUCGUUCGGAUGAAGACUGCAGGAGUCCCGCCCACAGGUACCGACUCUCAGCAACAAAGAGAAACACGAAGUUCUGCAGCAAAUAUUGAAGCAGGAGGAAGUGGAACUCUGGAAAAGAACCUAAGAAACCUCCUGACUGAAUCAUCUUCAACAGGAAGGAGCUGAAGUCUGAUUUGGAGAUGAAGACUCGCGGAGGACGACUCGGUGCUCGAGUCCUGACCCCAAACAGGAAGUGGAACUCUUCAGAUCAGCUGAGAGGAUGUGGACCCGGAUCAACAGAGACGCUGGUUAAGCGUCCGGCCAAUCCUCCGAGGAACCAAACCAGAGACAGAAGAGGUCGUCACAUCAGAGUCCCCAGAUAGAAAGAUAACCCCCAACAGUCAGAAACAGGACUGUCGGCCUGUUGGGCCUGUUCUCGUCUGUGUCGUGGAUGGAAGACGGACGGCUGUCAUCAAGAAGAUAUUUUCAACAUUUCUCAGACCUCUGAUGAGACGGAGGUCGACCAGAAUCAAUCAGAGUCAUCAGCUGUCUGUGGGAGGGGCGGAGUCACUGUUGCAGCAUCAGCUGGUUCUUCAAAAUAAAACAUGCGCCACACAGGAAAUAAUGUGUGAUCCUUCAGAGACUUCAGAAGAAGAUCUCGGCUUUACAGAUGAUCGUUGAGAAGCUACAGGAAGUUUGUUUAAAUAAGAACAUUCUCUGAAUUUGAUCAUUUUUAUGGACUGAAGAAACAUCAGGCCUUCAGUGUUAGCGAACGUCUUCAGCCGUUGAUUCCAGUGAAGCAGAGAGCGUCGGUCCUGCUCUGAUAUGCAUCACGGCACAAUAAUGAAGUGUUUAUGCUGACUCAGCUGAUUCACGCUGACGUUUGUAUUUUGCUUGAACUUCAGUCUGUCGUCUUUGGAUGUGUUGAUCUACCACCAGUUUCCCUUGGGAUCAAUAAAGGUUAUUGUCUGGUCUAAA